This 8884-nucleotide long non-coding RNA is filed under the name Panax ginseng (ginseng). Its description in RNAcentral is "long non-coding RNA (PGIN_LNC004927)". Lineage: Eukaryota; Viridiplantae; Streptophyta; Magnoliopsida; Apiales; Araliaceae. The record is from RNAcentral.
GGGUGAAGAAGCUUCUCUUCUGAGCUCCUUUAUAACAGCAACCAGUGCCUCAGGGUUUAGGUCAAGAUUGCAGAGUGCUAUGAGGACAGAUAGGGUGUGAUGAUCCAGGCCAGUUUCCAGAAUGUUUGACAUGCCAAAUGCCAGGUCAAGAGACUCUCUAGCAGUACGAGCAGCGCCAGUUUCCAGAAUGUUUGACAUGCCAAAUGCCAGGUCAAGAGACUCUCUAGCAGUACGAGCAGCCCCUGGAUCCAUACGUCUUUCAACUUCCCUUUUUCUUUCUGAAAGUGUAUGUUUUGAUCGACUAAACCUACAAGACAAAAUCUGAAAAACAACCAAAAAAGAUAACUUAUUCCUUUUUGACUAUGAAAAUCACAAUAAAAUUACAAACCAAGAUAAGAAUGGGAGCCCAACUACAAAUUAGGGUUCACAUGCGACCUAAAGAAUUAAUGAAAAGACGAAAAAUCCGGAAAUAAAUAAGUGAGACCUGAGAGAAGUUUUCAUGAGUCCCGAGGCAGAAGACUCCUGAAGGCGAUUCAUUUUUGAAAAUUGAUUGAGGUACGAUUUCUUGCUCACAUUUCUUGACAACUCUGCUGGGGAGGUGUAUAAUUCGUGAAAGGUAUGUCCACAACUCGGAGUGGGAGAACUACGGGAAGAGUUUCACCACCAACAAGUAUUACCUCAUUGGACCCAACUCCAAGACAGGCGAAUCAAGCUUUCUAAGGCGCGAAUCUGGAUUUUGACAGACCAAUACUAGAAGACGCUUUGGAAGGAAGUUCAACUUCGCCACAGAUGGUUGAUUAGCAACAAACAAACACCAUACAUGCGAACACAAGUAUGCAGGGUGAGGAAACAACAAAAGAUCAAAUGACGAUAAAUGUUGUGCAACGGGAGAUGCUGAAGGCGUUGAAGGAGACACGUGAAGAACAAGGAAUGAUGAUGGCAAUGAUGACCAAAAUGCAAAAACAGCAAAAGGAAAUGGUGAAUUUCUGCCAACAAUUGAUGCAAGUCCCAACCUUUAAAGUUGUGUUUCCAGGAAGUACGCAAGUAGCGAGGGCAGGAGCGGAUAACAAUGACAAGAACAAUCAGAAUGCGCCUCCGAUAAAGAAAAGUUAACAAAUUCCAAUUAUCAACCUAAAACCCCAGAACAAUGGUGAUGUGACGAAACAAAGAGUGGAGACGAGCCAACCCCAACCAACAAUCAUUCCAGCCAUCUUCCCCGCAUUUUCACAAGCACAAAUUCAAACCAUUCCAAGCCACAGCCAGCAACCCGGCCAACAAGUGCAACCCAUGCAGGUUUUGCAUGAUGCAAGUGUACACCAGCCAAUCACUUUACCGCAUACACCGCUGAUACAUCAAUACAUUACAACACCCCAGAGAGUUCACACGUCGAACCAGUAUGUGACCAAGAUUAUAUGCUUGACGUAAUCAACCUCCAAGGUCCAGAUUUGUUGUGACGAAAGAGAUGAAGAAGAGACCAGACUUCUGUGUAUACGACAAAUACGUUGUACAUUCCACUAUGGAUUGUUACUGUAACGACCCCAAAUUUCAUACAAUUCAAUUAUCGACUUCAGUCGUUAAUAACACGUCAACUUCCGAUUUUUACAUCAUUAUUCGAUGUUAAACUUAAUAAAAUGCGGAAUAAUUUAAACUUUUCUAUCUUCUUACUUUAAUUCCCUGAAUCAAAACCUUUAUCAUUUACACAUCUCUAAAUCAAUCUUAUUUUAUGCUUCGCUUCAUCACUGUUAUUAUAUAAAAAUUUUACAUUUCAAUCUGAUAACGUUUACAUAUCAGAUAACUCAAACUUGACAGUUUAUCAUUAUAUCAUCAUUGUGACUUAUCAAGUACAUUUCUCAAAACCUUUAUCUUUACCUACAUUUAUACCAUACUUAGCUUAUUACUCACCUUAUCAGAGUUAAUAAAUAAAACUUACAUUCAGAUUCAAUACCCUUUCAUACAAUCAAACAAAACUUAAACUUUAUAACUCAACAUCUAUUAAACAUUAAACAUUAUUCGGAACCUUAAAUUCAGCAAAAGUGUAUAAAUCUUUAAGUAUCACAUCUGAUUCACGUCUUUCAAGUAGCACAUAACUUUACCUUGAAUCUUUAACCUGCAAAAGUGGUUAUUUGCAAGGUUGAGCUCAACAGCCCAGCAAAAUCUAACAGUUUUCAUGCAUCACGUAGCACAUAAUAACAUGAUCAACAUAUAUUUCAUAAACAUUGGACUAACAUAACAUACAUGUUGCAUUUCAUAUGACAAGUAUAAAGAUUGAGUUCCUUACUCAAUCAACGUAGUCAUAAAUUGACUUUAAUGUUUCAUACUUUCAACAUACAUAUAACACAUCAUGCUCUUUGCAAUAAAGAUUUAAAACAGUUAAUCAUCAAGUUCACAUAGAAAAUAGGAACUGAAAGACUUGCCUUGAUCGUUGUUUACCAAUAAUAGCUUAACAGCUUACAGCUAUCUGUUAUAUAAUCAUUCACAUUAACUAUUAGUCACAUAGCAACACAUAGUAGUUGUAAUGUAAACUUUACUCUAUAUCUGAUAACCCUUCUUAUUAAUCAACACACAAUGUUUAAUUUUGAUUGUGUUAACUUUUGACUUACAUCUCACUGUAUUACUUCUUAGGUCGUACUCGAAGUUCAUUCAAGUGUUUAAGUCUUGCUAGGAAUCAUUAUUGAUUUUAUAUUAAACACAUUUCAUAUCUUAUAAUAUUCAUUUCAUUUGACUUAAAACACUUUUUACGUUCUUUAUCAUUUGUUACGGCGUUUCGACGUUCAUUCGUCACACGCCCGAUUUGUCUCUCUUGUGUAUGCUUAGUAUGCUUAUACAACUUAUCUAAUACAUCAAUUAUUAACGUUAAGCAUCAUUAUGUUUACUAACAUUCAUGUUUUAUAACUCAGAACAUCUUUUAUCGUCAGAAACACUACACUUGCAUACGUGCAUGCCCUACACCCUCCGAUUGUCCCCGAAAACACAACAGUCCUAAAAAUGACCAUUUUGACCCCUGUUCCCGACCUCAAAUCGAAAAACUUAAAGAAUAAAAGUUGUAGGUCUAUUUGUCCUCGUUCCAGAUCAUUUUGAAUCGCCUCAAUCGGAGUUCGUAUGAAAAAAUUGCCUAUUUUAUUAAAAACAUGUCAAAACAGUCACACCUUAGGCGCAACUGCGCCCCAAAAGACUUAGGGCACAACGCAACUGCGCCCGUUAGCAGAAACGGGACUCUGAAGUUCAUUGUUCUCGCGAUUUUUUAACCUUUUCUCCUACUAAUCUUCAUAACUUGAGUUUUACACAUCCAAAUUAGUCCGUUUUCGAUUAUAUGGAUUCGUAAUUCAUAGAACUACAAUAUACUAGAAUUAUAACAAUUUACAGAAACACUAACUAGCCUAAAUCUUGACCCAAAACUCAUGUUCAUACUAAACUUUUAUGUUUUAACAUGUUUAGCGAAUUCAUUCACUACGAAUUCGUUUCUUAACCAAAUUGAUUCAUUCAACUUGAGUUCUUUUCGUGUCUUAUCGUAUUAACAUAUUCUCGACUCAAUUUACAGUUUAGUUCACAAACUAACUACCAUUUUUUGUACUUUCACAAGCCAUAUACAUAACCAUAUACACUGUAAACGAUUUUCUUUUUUUUGAACGUAAUUAGCACACUAAUUCCUUGUCUAGAUGCUAACUCUAACAUCACACACUUACUAAUAAACACAAUUAAUCAGUUGGUAUUUCAACAAAUCAUCUAAUUUGAAUUUACAGAAAAUUUGAAACUUGUGAACAUAGAACAUAAUAUUAAGCUUUUAGAAGUAUACAUUCAAUUGCUUGGUAAUCCUUGCUAAAACACAGAGAAUUGCUUAGAAUCACAGUUCUCUCCUUUCUUAAGCUCUCUUUCUCUCAAAUUCUUCUCUGUAAACUCUCCCUUCUUCUCUUCUCUCAGGCUUAGGCCAACUCUUUUACGUACAUAGAAUAAAGCCAACGCAGAAAACUCAAACGUCUAAAACCGACGUUUUAUUAAAUAUAGUAAUUAUAUAUCAGUUAUAAAAUUUAAUAUAUAUUUUUAAUUUUUUUAAUUUUUUUUAAAUCAAAUUCAAAUUCAAAAGCCAUAAGGCUUUGUUUGGCAAAACACUUUUAAAAUAAAGACUUAAUAUCUUUAAGCCUUGUUUGGUAAAUCCAUUUAAAACCACUUUAAUUUACUUUAAUAAAUCAUUUAUAUCAUAGUUUAUUGUCCCACAUUGUUUACUUGGAUUUCCAUAUCCAAUCUUAAUUAAAUAAACAAAACUAAUUACCACAAAAUUAUAAUUUUCAUUAUAAUUUUACUUAAUAAAUUAACAUAUCACUUUAAUUACUAAAUUAAAUUAAAACAACAUUCUAGCAACUAUAUAAUCCUUAACAACUCUCUAAUUUAGUUAUUAAGUUAAAUUAAAGUAUUAUCUCAUAAAUUUAAUUCAUCACUCUUUUAUCUUAAUUAAGUUAAUUUUUAUAACUCAUGAAUUAUUUACUUACUAAUAAAUAAUCCAACAAAUAUCUACUAAACAACAAACACAUCAAUUAAAAAUAUUUAUUUAAUUCAAUAAAUAUUUAAAAUUAUAAAUAAAAUUUUGGAUUGUUACAGUUACAGUUUGCAGAGGAUCUACCAUAAGAAGAGAAGUUGGCGGUAGGAAAAAUCAAAUUGGAAAGAGUAAGCAUCGUGUUGGACAAGUCAUUGCCCAACCACAAAGAAAAAGAAACAUGCAACACCAUUACUCAUAGUGAAGCACCAGAAGGAAGAGAAGUGGAGAUGAUGGAGAACACAGAAGUGAUAGAUGACGAUUCUGAUCCAGGUUUGCAAAUGACCGCGUUGAUUAACGGAGUUAAGUUUAGAAAUUUUUUCAACCAGAUAGGAUUGGCCGAAAAAGCAAGGAUAGAAACAACCAAGACAAUCAUUAAAGUUGCUGAAGCACAAGAGACUUGUAUGGCAGUCAACAAAGGGUUUGGGAGGGCGGUGAAGGAGGAGGAGAACAAAAUCUCUUUCUCUUAAGCUAAAAGAGAGGUGAGGUACUAAAUAAUAGAUCACUGUAUGUGACAACAAUAAUUAAUGACAUGGCAGUGUGGAGGGCGUUCAUCGACAAUGAAACGUCUGUUUAAACGGUAUAUCUAUAAGUGAUGACUUAGUGAGUCACAAAAAGAAAAUUUAUUUUGUGUUAAAAAAAUUAGUGUGAUUGACAUGACCAUCACAAUUAUAAUACAUUGAUGACAAGAUUAGUUAUCACUAAGAGUCAUCAUAUAUACUAUUAUUUUGUGAUUGCUUAAAAAGUCCAUCACAAAUUACUAUCUUUUGUGAUUGUUUUUAAAAACUGUCACAAAGUUCUGUCACGUAUUCUUGUUUUUCUAGUAGUGUAUCAUUGAAGCAGCUUUCUUCGAUGAUGUCAUCGAAGAAGGAGAAAACCAUAUUGUCAAGCCUGAUUCUCUAAAGCUAGCAAGCUAAGAGGAGGUGCAGGAGGACAAGUUUUUGCGAAAGAAAAGAAGCUAACCUUGGAACAAGUUGAAUGUUCCAAAAACAAGAAACAUGUGCAAUUCGAAGGAUAUCAAUGGAAGGACCUGCAGAUGGGGGCAACUGCCGACAUGUGUUUAUCAAUGGAAGGACCUACAGAAAUUUUGUGGUUUUGACCGGUCGCAUGAAGGACCAAUAGGAAGGAGUUGCACCGGUUGCAAGUCUUACCUGCAGCUGGGCACCAACCUCAUCUAAUCUUAGCGCUUAGAUAAUUAGUUCGACGACCACAAAUCUGUUAGUUAGAAUAGUUCCCCCAACUAAUAUAUGUUGUGGAACGGGACCCUAAUAAUAGUAAGAAUAAGAAUAAUAAUAAUACUACUACUAAUAAUAAUAAUAAUAAAAGACUUGAUUUUUAUUUGGUAAUAAGGAGUUUCCAGAUUAAAUUUUGAUUUAUAUUGAUUUAGUUUCAAAAAAAUAAAAUAAUAAUAAUAUAUAAAUAAAUUAGGGAAACAAUGAUUUGAUCAAGAUUUGGAAAUAUUUUAUAAAAGAUUUCCGAGAUGUCCCGGGAGAGCACCUUUAGGGGUUCCUUCUUCUAGAAUUUUAAUUUUCGAGACUUGCAAGAUCAAGAUCAAGCUCCGCGGAUUGUUCAGAAAAUUGAAGCAAAACUCGAAGACUUGAAAUAUUUUGCACGAUCGUCACUCCAAAAGUGUGACUCACGCGCAUGGGGCAAAUGUGACCCCAAAUAAAAAUUAGAGUUCACAUGCAACCUAAAGAAUUAAGUGAAAAGACUAAAAAUCCAAAAAUAAAAAAGCGAGACCUGAAAUAAGCUUUCACAAGUCCCAAGGCAGAACAUUACUAAAGGCGACUCAUUUUUGAGAAUUGAUUAAGGGAUUAGAUUAGUGGCUAAAAUGACAGGAUGAUUUGGUCCUUAUUCGAGUAACUAAGGGUAUUUCUGGAACUUCUUCUGAAGUCGCAUGUCAGGCACAAGACCUAGACGUGUGUCAGGCACGUGACCACUUUCCAGAAAACUCUAUAAAUACUCCCUCCAUUCUAAUAGAAAGGACCUUUUGACUCUCUCUGAACUCUAGACACUCAAGAAAGCCCUCUGGAUCCUUGAUACUUAAGAAGGCUCUUGGAACCUAAAAGUUCUACCACGUUACUGGAGUAAUUGUUCACAUGUUCUUCUCCUCUCUUCAACUCAUCAAUCAAUUACGUACUCUUCGUAAAUUUCUUUCAUCCUCAGCCAACACGAAACCCUAACUUGUUACAAUUUCCUUGCCCACAAAGAAUUUACAUGAACUAGAAACCUAACAUGAUGAAACACCAAGGUGAAAUUUUAACCACGUGGAGGUGUGAACACAUUGCAUACCAACUAAAUGCAGUUGAUCAAACUUUUACAAUAUUAUACAAAAGAUUUGGAAAUGCAAAAGUGUUGAAAGGGAAACUAGUAAGCAGACACAAAACAUAAGCAAUGUCAUGGAAUGAAAAGUUUAUAUAGCAAAAUGAAGCUGAUUUUUACCAUUAUUAUUUUUAGGGCAAGUCAAAUGACGCUGAUCAUUACAGAGCUCAUAAAAUUAGUCUGGAAAAACAAAUUAAUGAUUGAAGUACAUAAUGCAUGUACAAAGAUGUAAAAAUGGAUAUUACAUUUGUUUACAGCUUUGUAAAAGAAUAUGAUUCUGAAAUGAUAUAAUGUAUGAAAUUUGUCUUAUAAACAUUACAAAAAUAUCAUAGUAGAAAAAGGGAAUGAGGGAUAGAAUUAUGAUACAUUUGUCUAUCGAGAAGAUACAUGAAAAUAUUGCAACAUUCUACUAACACUAACAAUAUUAUAAGAACCUAACAGUAAAAAUGCCUAUUAAAGAGGGUCACUUUGUCUGUAAUGUUACUCUUGUAAAGUUCUUUAAACCCCUUUUCUGGAAUUAUACAUAUGAAUAUAAUACACACAUACACACAAACACACAUUGCUAAUUGCAUUAUAGUAGUAAAAAGCUAGAUAUGAAAGGAGUGCAUAAAAUUGGAAUCAGACCCAUCCAUACAAUUCAUCAAACUUUUUAAUCCUUUCCCACAUCCCUUCAAGCCACUUCUCUCUACAACUCUCUCAUUGGCUUCCAUAUAUUUAAAGCAAUCGGUAUUAUGAUUAUCCUAGAAAACCAGUUCCAACACAACAUGCCACAGAUAGGAGAACAUGGUAUGCCCUGUCAACUGUUGCAGAAGGGAACUAUACUGGAAUUACAAAAGAAGAGGACAUGACAUUCGCUCUCAACUGUUGCAGAGGGGAAUAGUUGAGUAGGUGUUGUUUUUCACCCAUUUCACCAUGUUCAAGAUCCUAGAUGUCAGAUUGUUUUGGUCCAUCAAAUUUAGUCCACACUGACAUAGUGUCAAAAUGACUAAGAAGUUCUUUUGAGCAAAUAAUCUGUGAGAUGAACGAUCACCACAAAUCUUUAGAGUUUGGAGAUGUCUCAGAAAUUUAGAUCAAAAUGCAGUUUCUUGAACAAACUUACUCCACAAUGCAGAAUCAUCACCAUUCUAACCGAGACCUCAAGAACAGUCCCCACCCCCCCAAAAAAACUAUAGGAUCAUCAUGGGUUAAGAAAAACAUGCAAGGAUUCUUAGAAAAACAUUGAUGAUGAUGCAUUCAUACUAUGACCAUUAUAAUCUUAGAAAAAGAUCAAGUAAUCUUUAAUAUUUUUCAUGUAUUAUGUUGAAGAAGAUUUUAGCUUAGUGGGGGGGAAAGUAAAAAAUUUGUCCAUUUUCUAUCAGUAUUCUUUUUGUUUUGAAUAUCUCAUCCUUCCUCAAUUGUAUAUAGAGGAAAACAAUCACAAUAAAUAUAUCCAUAGCUAUACAAAAACUACACUCUUUUUGAUAAUUAACAUACAAUACCUACAAUGAAUGACCAAUAGUUAUCAUUCUUUGAUAUGAUCAAUCUGCAUCACUAAGAUUCAAAAGAAACUUCGGCCCCAAAUUCAGAAACCAGAACUACAUCAACUAGUUCUUCUGAAUGUUAUAAAGUUAUUGCCAAUUGAUUUUUUUUAGGUAAAAUUAUUUGGUAAUCCCUAAUACAGUUAUUGUGCUCUUAGGAAAUUCAAUAAAAUUUUCAUCAACUAGGUACCCUAUAGUUCUAAGUCAAGAGUCAAGACUUGUUGACAAGGCGAGUGAAAUACCAUCAACCAGUACAUGAAACAUGAAACUAUAAAUAUAAACACAAGAUUUACAAAAAAUACAUUGAUAUACAAAUGGACAAAUAAGCGUCUAUAUAUAUAUAUAUAUAUAGACUAUAGUUAUGUGAAUUGAGUUCAGAGUUACCUGAAGCGAGGGAUGGGCAGAUCGCCAGAACUGCUACGACCUAGCUUGUUAAUUACGACGGAAACGAUGAAUUUCAGAAUUUAUUUCAAUACUCCUCUGCGAUGGGCUUCGGAUCUCAUGAGACAGAGCAGCC